UACGUAGGGUGCGAGCGUUAAUCGGAAUUACUGGGCGUAAAGCGUGCGCAGGCGGUCUGUUAAGACCGAUGUGAAAUCCCCGGGCUUAACCUGGGAACUGCAUUGGCGACUGGCAGGCUUUGAGUGUGGCAGAGGGAGGUAGAAUUCCACGUGUAGCAGUGAAAUGCGUAGAGAUGUGGAGGAAUACCGAUGGCGAAGGCAGCCUCCUGGGCCAACACUGACGCUCAUGCACGAAAGCGUGGGGAGCAAACAGG
This 254-nucleotide ribosomal RNA is filed under the name uncultured bacterium. RNAcentral's name for it is "partial 16S ribosomal RNA". It matches the Rfam family "Bacterial small subunit ribosomal RNA", at positions 524 to 776 of the family's 1533-position model. The record is from RNAcentral.